GUGGGUGUAGCUCAGCUGGUUAGAGCGCCAGACUGUGACUCUGGAUGUCGCGGGUUCGAAUCCCGUCACUCACC
This 74-nucleotide transfer RNA is filed under the name Gemmataceae bacterium. RNAcentral's name for it is "tRNA-His". It matches the Rfam family "tRNA". From Rfam's summary of the family: Transfer RNA (tRNA) molecules are approximately 80 nucleotides in length. Their secondary structure includes four short double-helical elements and three loops (D, anti-codon, and T loops). The record is from RNAcentral. Lineage: Bacteria; Pseudomonadati; Planctomycetota; Planctomycetia; Gemmatales; Gemmataceae.